This 759-nucleotide ribosomal RNA is filed under the name Alteromonadaceae bacterium GWS-BW-H18M. RNAcentral describes it as "bacterial SSU rRNA". It matches the Rfam family "Bacterial small subunit ribosomal RNA", at positions 10 to 759 of the family's 1533-position model. The record is from RNAcentral. Lineage: Bacteria; Pseudomonadati; Pseudomonadota; Gammaproteobacteria; Alteromonadales; Alteromonadaceae.
AGUUUGAUCAUGCCUCAGAUUGAACGCUGGCGGCAGGCCUAACACAUGCAAGUCGAGCGGUAACAGGAAUUAGCUUGCUAAUUUGCUGACGAGCGGCGGACGGGUGAGUAAUGCCUAGGGAACUGCCCAGUCGAGGGGGAUAACAGUUGGAAACGACUGCUAAUACCGCAUACGCCUACGGGGGAAAAGAGGGGACCUUCGGGCCUUCUGCGAUUGGAUGUACCUAGGUGGGAUUAGCUAGUUGGUGAGGUAAUGGCUCACCAAGGCGACGAUCCCUAGCUGUUCUGAGAGGAUGAUCAGCCACACUGGGACUGAGACACGGCCCAGACUCCUACGGGAGGCAGCAGUGGGGAAUAUUGCACAAUGGGCGCAAGCCUGAUGCAGCCAUGCCGCGUGUGUGAAGAAGGCCUUCGGGUUGUAAAGCACUUUCAGCGAGGAGGAAAGCUUAAGCGUUAAUAGCGUUUAGGUGUGACGUUACUCGCAGAAGAAGGACCGGCUAACUUCGUGCCAGCAGCCGCGGUAAUACGAGGGGUCCAAGCGUUAAUCGGAAUUACUGGGCGUAAAGCGUACGCAGGCGGUUUGUUAAGCGAGAUGUGAAAGCCCCGGGCUCAACCUGGGAACUGCAUUUCGAACUGGCAAACUAGAGUCUUGUAGAGGGGGGUAGAAUUUCAGGUGUAGCGGUGAAAUGCGUAGAGAUCUGAAGGAAUACCGGUGGCGAAGGCGGCCCCCUGGACAAAGACUGACGCUCAUGUACGAAAG